This 372-nucleotide ribosomal RNA is filed under the name uncultured bacterium. RNAcentral describes it as "bacterial SSU rRNA". It matches the Rfam family "Bacterial small subunit ribosomal RNA", at positions 527 to 896 of the family's 1533-position model. The record is from RNAcentral.
GUAGGGUCCGAGCGUUGUCCGGAUUUAUUGGGCGUAAAGAGCUCGUAGGCGGUUCCGUAAGUCGGAUGUGAAAACUCGGGGCUCAACCCCGAGACGCCAUCCGAUACUGCGGUGACUUGAGUCUGGUAGGGGAACACGGAAUUCCUGGUGUAGCGGUGAAAUGCGCAGAUAUCAGGAGGAACACCGAUGGCGAAGGCAGUGUUCUGGGCCAGUACUGACGCUGAGGAGCGAAAGCGUGGGGAGCAAACAGGAUUAGAUACCCUGGUAGUCCACGCCGUAAACGAUGGACACUAGGCGUCGGGGGGAGCGACCCUCUCGGUGCCGUCGCUAACGCAGUAAGUGUCCCGCCUGGGGAGUACKGCCGCAAGGCUG